RNAcentral lists this ribosomal RNA (252 nucleotides) under uncultured bacterium. RNAcentral describes it as "partial 16S ribosomal RNA". It matches the Rfam family "Bacterial small subunit ribosomal RNA", at positions 524 to 775 of the family's 1533-position model. The record is from RNAcentral.
UACAGAGGGUGCGAGCGUUGUUCGGAAUUAUUGGGCGUAAAGGGCGCGUAGGCGGUGUUGUAAGUCACCUGUGAAACCUCUAGGCUUAACCUAGAGCCUGCAGGCGAAACUGCAAUGCUGGAGGGUGGGAGAGGUGCGUGGAAUUCCCGGUGUAGCGGUGAAAUGCGUAGAUAUCCGUAGGAACAUCCGAGGCGAAAGCGGCUCGCUGGAUCACAACUGACGCUGAGAGACGAAAGCUAGGGGAGCAAACAG